This 73-nucleotide transfer RNA is filed under the name Cellulophaga phage phi17:2. It matches the Rfam family "tRNA". Rfam says of the family: Transfer RNA (tRNA) molecules are approximately 80 nucleotides in length. Their secondary structure includes four short double-helical elements and three loops (D, anti-codon, and T loops). Lineage: Duplodnaviria; Heunggongvirae; Uroviricota; Caudoviricetes. RNAcentral also lists the same sequence under 4 other names. The record is from Rfam by way of RNAcentral.
GGCCCAGUAGCUAAACUGGCUUAGCACCUCCUUUGCAAGGAGAAGUAUGUGGGUUCGAGCCCCAUCUGGCCCA